This is a long non-coding RNA of Oryzias latipes (Japanese medaka), 1812 nucleotides long. RefSeq lists it as uncharacterized. The record is from RefSeq and is a predicted model, not a curated record. NCBI's taxonomy places the organism in Eukaryota, Metazoa, Chordata, Actinopteri, Beloniformes, Adrianichthyidae.
UUUCUUUUUCCUUUUUAGCUGCUGCCUCCAUUUGCCAACUCUUGUCAGGGUCCUGGCUCUGUUGGUCAAUAUUUUUUAAUUCUUGAGGCAGCUGGAGCUUUUCUUUUUCCAGCUUUCUGCUGGCAUGUUUUUUGGGAUUGUGGGAGAAACCGAAAGACUCGGAGAAAACCCAUACAUUGCAGGCCUAAAGCUUAAAUCUGUUUUCAUCCAAACAAAUGUGUCUUCAAUUCAAAAUGUAUCAACCCUCAAUAGAAAAUUUGAAUUUGGAGUAGCUCAUCAUCCAAGGUUCUUUGGUGCUUGUUGUUAAUUAUUUCAGCCAAUUGAAAAAAUCCUGCUCAUUAAAAAGGUCUGUCAAGACAAGAAGUCAUCCAUUCAUCUUGUUCUUGGAGGCAUUUCUGGAUGGCAGUGUGGAUGUUGUUUAGAAAGAUUUGAUUUCCUUGUAAUGUUAAAGUUACUCCAUCAGGUCUAUACAUUUUGUCAUCAUCAGGUGACAAAUCUUGAUGCUCCACUACAUCGAACCGGUCGGUAUACCCCUUCAUAAUUUCAUUGACUAAUGUCCAGCUUUUAUCCUUCUGAAAAAGAUGAUCUAAUUUCCCACUUUUCCUUGGAAGGAUGAGGGACAAAACUAUUCUCAUUUGAGGGUACGUUUGUCUCAGAAGCCUCAGGUCUUUUAACAUUUGAUUUGCGAUCUGUAUUGGAGGCAUUCGUCCCAAUUCUUUUCCUGCAGCUUGGAUAACUAAAAUUUCAGGGGGACCAUCUUCUUUGGAGAUUGUGUGAUGAAGGUUAUCAACAACGUCCUUCCAGUCCACGUGUCUAAUUCCAAUCCACUUAACAUUAGCAUCAAGUUCCAAGUUUUGUCCAAAAAGAUGUUUAGCUGCAGGCUGUGCCCGUGAAAUAUAAGUUGACCCAACGAUCCAGACAUCAGGCGGUCUGGUGACUUUGGGUGUUUCCAUUGGUGAGCUGUUUGUUGAAAAGCUGAGGUCAGGGGAGCUUGAUGUGUCCUCUUCCCUCUUCUCAGGCUGGAUUUCUGUCUCAAAUGGUGGUAGACCAGCAAAAAGGCUUUUAAAAUCUGAUUAGGCUUUGGGUUGUCAGGCUGGAUUGGGCUAGAUGUAGAAGGGACACGAAGACAUGACUGAGGCUGGUCGUUGCUGCCAACGUGGAGAACCAAAAGGUCUGGGGAACUCCUUUGUUGGGACAACUGGCUAUAAAAAUGCUUAAGAACAUCCCUCCAGCGCAUGCUGACUUUUGCCAUCCAAUGGAUUUUUGCAUUGACACCAAAGUUUUGUCCAUAGCAUCGAUUAGCUGUAUAUUCUGCCCCAGUGAUGUAGUGACCCGACCCAAUGAUCCAGACCGUGGGCACUUUUCUGUCCUCUGACAGCAGCUGUCUUUGGGUGCUGUCUAAUGAGGACUUUACACCUGAUUGAUCUUCUGGAUUGUCCUGAAUUUGAUGCAUUUUUCUCAAAAUAGAAUCAAAAGUGGAAAUCCUAUGUUUUUAAAAUGGCGGAUUUUCUUCUCCGUAAAACGUGGUUUCACAAGUGAAGCUCUUCAGCAUGAAAGACCAAGUGAUGCACUUUUGGAUUGAGGUCCUAUUUAUGAAAGUUGAAACGAUGACAUGUCUUGACAUGUUUUGACUACGUCCUGACUACAUCAAAUGAUGUUUAUGACAUCAUUUAAUGUCAUAAACAUUAUCUGAUGUCAUGAAUAUGACAUCAUCUGAUGACAUCAGCAGUUGUAUUUUCAUUGAUGACAUCAGCAAUUUUUUCAAGGUCUCAUGUUGUUAAAAGAUGUUUUUAUAAUUGGAAAAAUAAAUCC